CCCUGUUUAUCAAAAACAUGUCUUCUUGUAUUUAUUUGAAGUCGUGCCUGCCCACUGAAUAAUUUAAAGGCCGCGGUAUUUUGACCGUGCAAAGGUAGCAAAAUCAUUAGUCUCUUAAUUGGUGGCUGGAAUGGAAUGGUUUGACGAAACAAUAACUGUCUCGGAAUUAUGAAUUGAAUUUUACUUUUAAGUUAAAAGGCUUAAAUGAUGAUAGGGGACGAGAAGACCCUAUAGAUCUUUAUAAUAAAUUUAUAGUUUUUUAUUUGGUUGAAUUUAUUUAAAUCUAUGGAUUUUUUAUUUCGUUGGGGUGACGAAAGAAUAAAAUAACUUCUUUAUUAAUUAACUAUGAUGAUUGGUUAUAUGAUCCUUUAUAUAUGGAAUUAAGAUUAAGAUACCUUAGGGAUAACAGCGUAAUUUUGUUGAAGAGUUCUUAUCGAUAAUGAAGAUUGCGACCUCGAUG
RNAcentral lists this ribosomal RNA (460 nucleotides) under Brachytrupes portentosus (Taiwan giant cricket). RNAcentral's name for it is "partial 16S ribosomal RNA". It matches the Rfam family "Bacterial large subunit ribosomal RNA", at positions 1798 to 2531 of the family's 2925-position model. The record is from RNAcentral. Lineage: Eukaryota; Metazoa; Arthropoda; Insecta; Orthoptera; Gryllidae.